This 564-nucleotide ribosomal RNA is filed under the name uncultured Glomeromycotina. Its description in RNAcentral is "SSU rRNA". It matches the Rfam family "Eukaryotic small subunit ribosomal RNA", at positions 548 to 1114 of the family's 1831-position model. The record is from RNAcentral. Lineage: Eukaryota; Fungi; Glomeromycota.
UUGGAGGGCAAGUCUGGUGCCAGCAGCCGCGGUAAUUCCAGCUCCAAUAACGUAUAUUAAAGUUGCUGCAGCUAAAAAGCUCGUAGUUGAAUUUCGGGACCAUCAUGUUGGUCGUGCCUCGGUACGUACUGGCAUUGUUGGCUUCUCCCUUCUGACGAACCAUGAUGUCAUUUAUUUGGUGUUGUGGGAAAUCAGGACUGUUACUUUGAAAAAAUUAGAGUGUUUAAAGCAGGCUCACGCUUGAAUACAUUAGCAUGGAAUAAUGAAAUAGGACGUUUGAUUCUAUUUUGUUGGUUUCUAGGAUCGACGUAAUGAUUAAUAGGGAUAGUUGGGGGCAUUAGUAUUCAAUUGUCAGAGGUGAAAUUCUUGGAUUUAUUGAAGACUAACUACUGCGAAAGCAUUUGCCAAGGAUGUUUUCAUUAAUCAAGAACGAAAGUUAGGGGAUCGAAGACGAUCAGAUACCGUCGUAGUCUUAACCAUAAACUAUGCCGACUAGGGAUCGGAUGAUGUUAAUUUUUUAAUGACUCAUUCGGCGCCUUACGGGAAACCAAAGUGUUUGGGUUC